UAAAUUAAUCUGUGCUUUCAUUAAAUAUUUUCAUUUUGCAUCCUAAGAUUAUGAUUUCAACUUAGGAUUUUUGUGGUGAUUUCAUCUGCGCUGAUCUUAUUUUGGUGGGUUCUGGUUCCGGUGUCUUUGGUGUCUGUGGCUAACUUCACUCUGCUUCCUCUGAGGCUGCUCCUUCCCCCCUUGGCGCUGAGGCUGAUUGAUCACGCCUGAUUCUGCUCUGCAAUCAAGCACUCCUCAACACAGCUGCACAGACUUGCCUCAGCGCCAGAGUAUCACCUGCCUCACAGAGUGUGCCUCACUCCUUGCCUCACAUCAGCCCAAACCCAGCACACACUCCCAGGAGCCCCUCACUACCUCAGACCUAGCUGUCUGGGUGUCCUCUUCAGACCGACCCACAAACCACCAGAACUUCCUCCGUCUGCUCACAAACGUUUAUUACAGGCCCGGCCUGGAGGACGCUGUGGUCGUCUCUUCAGCUCCAGUGAAGGAGUAAAGUCUGUAGGCUGAACUUCAGCAGCUGAAAACCUUCAGCGAAAAAUGUCGGAACUUUGAAAGGCGACCUCUUAUAUCAUUAUAUAUGUAUAAUUUCUGGUUCAUCUGUACACUGCUUGGGGAGUGCUUAUGCAAGUGUUCCAUGCCGAUCAAGUUUUGAAUAGAACUGAAUUCAAAAAAUCUUUGGACAUGACCUUUAAAAAUCUAAUGGGAACUGAUUUCCCUCCUGCGUUUUUGACAAAAGAACAAGUGAAAUGUCUCUGUGCUACUUCUCAUCGAAGCCGUGCUACACACUACAUCAUUUUAGGCCUGAUUUGAGUCUGAUUUGCUCCCAUUGUUUUAUGGCUCCUGAUUGGGUUGGAGCUCCAUAAAUCAUAAAUGUGAAACAUGUUUGAUAUGUAUAAUUCCAGAACUGACUGCCAAAGGAACACCUGCAAUAGCUGAUGCAAUCAGGCAGAUCUGGAAGCUCAACAACGUCAUACAGCUCACAAACAUGGCAGCAAACAUCAGCACAAAUGAGUAAAGUGGAGA
This is a long non-coding RNA of Cheilinus undulatus (humphead wrasse), 1023 nucleotides long. RefSeq lists it as uncharacterized. The record is from RefSeq and is a predicted model, not a curated record. The transcript has 3 exons. Lineage: Eukaryota; Metazoa; Chordata; Actinopteri; Labriformes; Labridae.